This 1114-nucleotide long non-coding RNA is filed under the name Arabidopsis lyrata. RNAcentral's name for it is "long non-coding RNA (ALYR_LNC002782)". The record is from RNAcentral. Lineage: Eukaryota; Viridiplantae; Streptophyta; Magnoliopsida; Brassicales; Brassicaceae.
GAAAUCGACAGAAUUAAAUGCAGUCUUUGCUAUGGACGAAAUUUGAUCUUCCUUGAUUAUUUUUGGGCUGAAUCCACUUUGCUGGGCUUCUAUAAUGGACCAAGAUUGUAGAACAAGUCAGUUUGUAGCUUAGUUCAUUCUGGUCUGGUCGGAAUUCUUCAUUGAAUGCGCGAAGGUCCGAAUCUGGUAAACUGGAGAACACCUGAUUUGUAAAUUGAAUAACUCCUUUGUUUGAUCUCCUUUUGCUUUGAUUCUUCUUCGAGGAGUUCCAUAGUUGAGCUGAGCACAUUCUCCAAGUAGUUUCGUGCUUUGAUUCCUUGUCAUUCGGAAGAUACACUUCAAAAACUGAACACAUAUCCUGAUGCUUCCCAUUAUCAUAUCAUACUCUCCCUCUUGAAAAAGGAUUUGCCCUCAAAUCCGGCUACUGUUCUUCUUCUUUUCUUUUUUUUUGAGAAAAAUAAAGGAAUAAAAAUAAAAAAGAAAUACAAGAUGAAGAGAUGAGGAGAUGAAUGAAAGAAGAUGGAGAGAAGAGAAGAUGAUAGAAUGAUAGAAUGAUAGACCGAGCUUAGAGUGUUACUCUGAUACCAAAUGAUAAGAAUCUCCCAAGGAGUCGGCACUCUAAGACGGUGAAUAGAUAUUCCUUAGGUUCAACGGACGGUGAAGCCACGAAGAACAAGGAUGGUGGAGCGAAUGGUCACACAAGAGCUGCGGAAGACUCUUGAUUUACCGAACUUGAAUUCCUUAGAUAUGACACAGUAAGACGAAUUCAAGGCUGAAAAUGAGAAUCACUUUCGACAAGACCCCCUGGAUAUGACGCACCAAGACAGAUCAUGUAUUGAUCAAUGGACACACCAUUAACCAAACCAAUGGAUAUUACACACCAUUGACGAAAAAUGAAAACUCACUCUCAAAGGAUUCCAAAAAUAUCAAAAAGGCUUAUUCUUUAUUCAUGAGAUGAACCUCAUUAUAUAGAGGAAUUACAACAAAUUCGUCCAUAAUAGUUUCUUAACAUGCAAAGCAUCUAGGGAGAUGAAAUUCAAACUCUAAAGUGCAUGUAAGAGAGAGAAAUCGACAGAAUUAAAUGCAGUCUUUGCUAUGGACGAAAUUUGAUCUU